RNAcentral lists this ribosomal RNA (372 nucleotides) under uncultured organism. RNAcentral's name for it is "partial 16S ribosomal RNA". It matches the Rfam family "Bacterial small subunit ribosomal RNA", at positions 527 to 896 of the family's 1533-position model. The record is from RNAcentral.
GUAGGUGGCAAGCGUUGUCCGGAAUUAUUGGGCGUAAAGCGCGCGCAGGCGGUUCGUUAAGUCUGAUGUGAAAGCCCACGGGCUCAACCGUGGAGGGUCAUUGGAAACUGGAGAACUUGAGUACAGAAGAGGAAAGCGGAAUUCCACGUGUAGCGGUGAAAUGCGUAGAGAUGUGGAGGAACACCAGUGGCGAAGGCGGCUUUCUGGUCUGUAACUGACGCUGAGGCGCGAAAGCGUGGGGAGCAAACAGGAUUAGAUACCCUGGUAGUCCACGCCGUAAACGAUGAGUGCUAAGUGUUAGGGGGUUUCCGCCCCUUAGUGCUGCAGCUAACGCAUUAAGCACUCCGCCUGGGGAGUACGGCCGCAGGGCUG